UUCUUGUUUCUUUCUACUGGAGUGUUUUUUUUCCCUAUGGCAAAAGUUGAGGCAUGAUGGAGUUUCGUCUCUCCCACAUCUUUGCUUUUCUCACACUCAUACUGGUAGAAAGGGUGAACCAUGCUGCUUUACCGCCACCUCAACUUUACUUGUUGAACUCCUUCCUGCUAGACACACCAAUCUCCAAAGCUCUCAGUGUGGGAUGCAAGCUGAAAAACUCAUGUUUGGUUACAACCAAGUGCUAAGGCCCAAAAACUCAUGUCGGUUACAUCCAAGAUGCUGUGGCUGACAAUCAGAUCGACCCAACCCGAGUAAUUUUCUUCGUAGAGAAGGACGUACAUACCGGCACAACUAUGAAAUAUCGCUUAGCCGGAAAUUCAAGUAGGGUGCCUUUAAUGUCCCGCAAAACUGCAGAAGCGAUCCCCUUCUCAUCCAGUAAACUGCCAGAAAUUCUCAACCAGUAAUCAGUGAAACCAGGGUCUGUGGAAGCCGCUAUAGUUAAGGAAACCAUUCAACAUUGUGAACGUCCAGCAGCUAGAGGAGAAGAAAACUACUGUGCCACCUCUUUGGAGUCGAUGAUUGUGUUGAAAAAGUAAUGCAUAUUUAUGUAACCACACAAUUCUAGAAAACUUACAAACUAGAUGAUGGAAUGUCGGCAACACAAAAAAAAAAAUAUGCAGAGAAUAUUUGUUAAAUUUAA
Molecule: long non-coding RNA, 700 nt
Organism: Prunus mume (Japanese apricot)
Lineage: Eukaryota; Viridiplantae; Streptophyta; Magnoliopsida; Rosales; Rosaceae
Source: RefSeq, a predicted model, not a curated record